CUCAUGUGAAUGGGCAUGGAGAACAUCUCAUUUUUUUUCCCUAGUAGAAGAGAACACCUCCUGUUGAGAGACAUUUUUCCUUGAUUAUAUUUUCAUUUUUGAAGAGGGACGGAAAAGGCGUACUCUUCGUCCGUCCGUUUUUCUUCGUCUGAAAACCUAGAAACGAGCCUAUUGCCAGACGCACUUCUGCAUUCGCCGGAGAAAAUCGCCGCCGCCAGGCAAACAAAAAGGAAAAUCCAAUCCUUUUGCAUGUGCUUUCUUAUUAAGGAUGAAGCGAGGGUAUGAAGAAUCUGCUUCAACCUCUGUUGGUCCUCCUCAAUCAAGGCGUAGAUUCGAUACUCUUGGCGAUGCCCAGUUUUUCUCAGAGGAGGAUGAAAGCACAAAGAAUCUUGCACAAAAGGUGGCUGACCAUUACAGUGCAAGGACAAAUCAAACUCUAGAGGAAUGGGAAGCUAGUCCUAUUAUCCAUUUAAAGAAACUAAACAAUUGGAUUAAAAGUGUUCUCAUCCAGCUGUAUGCUUGCCGGGCAGAUUUUGUUCUAGAUCUUGCUUGUGGGAAGGGUGGUGAUUUGAUCAAAUGGGACAAGGCGAAGGUUGGAUAUUAUGUUGGCAUUGAUAUAGCUGAAGGCUCGAUAGAAGACUGUCGCACACGCUAUAAUGGUGAUGCAGACCACCACCAACGUCGCAAAAAGUUUACAUUCCCAGCACGACUUAUACGUGGAGAUUGUUUCGAGGUACGCUUGGAUAAAGUUCUGGAAGAUGAUGCACCAUUUGACAUUUGCAGCUGUCAGUUUGCCAUGCACUACUCAUGGUCUACAGAGGUGCGUGCAAGACGAGCAUUGGCCAAUGUAUCGGCAUUACUGCGUCCAGGAGGCAUCUUCAUUGGAACAAUGCCAGAUGCAAAUGUUAUCAUCAAAAAGCUUAGGGAAGCGGAAGGGCUUGCAUUUGGGAACAGCGUAUACUGGAUUCGUUUUGAUGAUGAAUAUGCUCAAAAGAAAUUUAAAGCUUCUAGCCCCUUUGGUAUCAAGUACAAAUUCCACUUAGAGGAUGCUGUUGAUUGUCCGGAAUGGAUUGUUCCUUUCAAUGUCUUCAAGGCAUUGGCAGAGGAGUAUGAGCUGGAGCUUGUUUUCGUGAAGAACUCCCAUGAAUUUGUGGAUGAGUACUUGAAAAAACCAGAAUUUGCUGAGCUUAUGCGGAGGCUUGGUGCCUUGGGUGAUGGAAACCAGGACCUGAGUGAGUUAAUUUAAUCUCUUUUCUUCUGCAGCUCUUUCAUUCUUGUGGUAAAGCACUUCCUGGUCUAGAUUCCAGACAUGUGUUCCUGGUAGUGCUGUUGGAGGCACGCUGUCAGAGGAUGAGUGGGAGGUUGCUUAUUUGUAUUUGGCAUUUGUCUUGAGAAAGCGGGGUGGUCAACCAGAUGGCAACCGCAGGAGCAACAAUAAUAGAGGAAACAGAGGGCAGGUGCAUAUAUCA
Molecule: RNA transcript, 1469 nt
Organism: Macadamia integrifolia
Lineage: Eukaryota; Viridiplantae; Streptophyta; Magnoliopsida; Proteales; Proteaceae
Gene name: mRNA cap guanine-N7 methyltransferase 1-like
Exons: 15
Source: RefSeq, a predicted model, not a curated record